Molecule: ribosomal RNA, 253 nt
Filed under: uncultured bacterium
Lineage: Bacteria
Description: partial 16S ribosomal RNA
Rfam family: Bacterial small subunit ribosomal RNA
Source: RNAcentral
UACGUAGGUGGCAAGCGUUGUCCGGAAUUAUUGGGCGUAAAGCGCGCGCAGGCGGUCCUUUAAGUCUGAUGUGAAAGCCCACGGCUCAACCGUGGAGGGUCAUUGGAAACUGGGGGACUUGAGUGCAGGAGAGAAGAGUGGAAUUCCACGUGUAGCGGUGAGAUGCGUAGAGAUGUGGAGGAACACCAGUGGCGAAGGCGACUCUUUGGCCUGUAACUGACGCUGAGACGCGAAAGCGUGGGGAGCAAACAGG